GUAACGGCUUACCAAGGCUACGAUGUCUAGUGGGUCUGAGAGGAUGACCCGCCACACUGGAACUGAGACACGGUCCAGACUCCUACGGGAGGCAGCAGUAAGGAAUCUUGCGCAAUGGGCGAAAGCCUGACGCAGCAAUACCGCGUGAAUGAAGAAGGCCCUUGGGUCGUAAAGUUCUUUUAUAGGGGAAGAUAAUGACGGUACCCUAUGAAUAAGCACCGGCUAACUUCGUGCCAGCAGCCGCGGUAAUACGAAGGGUGCGAGCGUUGUUCGGAUUUACUGGGCGUAAAGAGCAAGUAGGCUGUUUUUUAAGCAAAGGGUGAAAUCCCGAGGCUCAACCUCGGAACUGCUCUUUGAACUGGAAGACUAGAGAAAGACAGAGGCAAGCGGAAUUCUUGGUGUAGAGGUGGAAUUCAUAGAUAUCAAGAGGAACAUCGGUGGCGAAGGCGGCUUGCUGGGUCUUUUCUGACGCUGAGAGGCGAAAGCGUGGGUAGCAAACAGGAUUAGAUACCCUGGUAGUCCACGCCGUAAACGAUGAGUAUCAGCCGUUUAGCUUCGGCUAAGUGGUGCAGCUAACGCUUUGAAUACUCCGCCUGGGGAGUACGGUCGCAAGACUAAAACUCAAAGGAAUUGACGGGGACCCGCACAAGCAGUGGAGCAUGUGGUUUAAUUGGAUGCAACGCGAAAAACCUUACCUAGGUUUGAAAUCCCUUGACAACCUUAGAAAUAAGGCUUUCCCUUCGGGG
Molecule: ribosomal RNA, 746 nt
Filed under: uncultured bacterium
Lineage: Bacteria
Description: bacterial SSU rRNA
Rfam family: Bacterial small subunit ribosomal RNA
Source: RNAcentral